Pelobates cultripes (western spadefoot toad) is the source of this 225-nucleotide non-coding RNA. The record is from the annotation of a GenBank genome assembly. Lineage: Eukaryota; Metazoa; Chordata; Amphibia; Anura; Pelobatidae.
CUAGAAUUAGUUGAAACACUAGCAUUAGAAGGUUUUAUGAUAGAUGGAUCAUGUAAAACUACAUUUAAUUCUUCAAGGAAGGCAGUUUAACAUGGCAGUCACUAAACUGUGUAACCACUACAUACUGAUGUAGUGGUUAUGGUACAUUUAGGCCACAGGUGCUAUCCACUGGUUAAUGAUGAAAAUGUUUUCAAGUAGUUUGACCAAAACCUGACAAACUCAGCC